UUGGCACCUCGAUGUCGGCUCAUCGCAUCCUGGGGCUGAAGUAGGUCCCAAGGGUUGGGCUGUUCGCCCAUUAAAGCGGUACGCGAGCUGGGUUCAGAACGUCGUGAGACAGUUCGGUCCCUAUCUGUCGUGGGCGCAGGAAAUUUGAGAGGAGCUGUCCUUAGUACGAGAGGACCGGGAUGGACGUACCGCUGGUGCAUCAGUUGUUCCGCCAGGAGCAUGGCUGAGUAGCUACGUACGGACGGGAUAAGCGCUGAAAGCAUCUAAGCGUGAAGCCCCCCUCAAGAUGAGAUUUCCCAAUUAGUAAGACCCCUUGAAGACGACGAGGUAGAUAGGUUGGAGGUGGAAGUGCAGCAAUGCAUGGAGCUGACCAAUACUAAUCGGUCGAGGGCUUAUCCAAA
RNAcentral lists this ribosomal RNA (401 nucleotides) under Paenibacillus sp. P32E. Its description in RNAcentral is "bacterial LSU rRNA". It matches the Rfam family "Bacterial large subunit ribosomal RNA", at positions 2518 to 2925 of the family's 2925-position model. Lineage: Bacteria; Bacillati; Bacillota; Bacilli; Caryophanales; Paenibacillaceae. The record is from RNAcentral.